CUACGUGCCAGCAGCCGCGGUAAUACGUAUGUCACAAGCGUUAUCCGGAUUUAUUGGGCGUAAAGCGCGUCUAGGUGGUUAUGUAAGUCUGAUGUGAAAAUGCAGGGCUCAACUCUGUAUUGCGUUGGAAACUGCAUGACUAGAGUACUGGAGAGGUAAGCGGAACUACAAGUGUAGAGGUGAAAUUCGUAGAUAUUUGUAGGAAUGCCGAUGGGGAAGCCAGCUUACUGGACAGAUACUGACGCUAAAGCGCGAAAGCGUGGGUAGCAAACAGGAUUAGAUACCCUGGUAGUCCACGCCGUAAACGAUGAUUACUAGGUGUUGGGGGUCGAACCUCAGCGCCCAAGCUAACGCGAUAAGUAAUCCGCCUGGGGAGUACGGCCGCAAGGUUAAAACUCAAAUGAAUUGACGGGGGCCCGCACAAGCGGUGGAGCAUGUGGUUUAAUUCGAUGCAACGCGAAGAACCUUACCUACUCUUGACAUCCAGAGAACAUUC
This 496-nucleotide ribosomal RNA is filed under the name uncultured bacterium. Its description in RNAcentral is "bacterial SSU rRNA". It matches the Rfam family "Bacterial small subunit ribosomal RNA", at positions 501 to 1000 of the family's 1533-position model. The record is from RNAcentral.